UUGCAGAAUAUGUAUUAGGCAUAAGUAGAAAUUCUAUGGGAUAAAAAUAUGGCCAUUAAUGCUUUCAGACAACAAAUGCUAAGAUGAAUGUGCAAUAACAUAAAAUGAUAAAAUUCAGAAUAAACAAAUUUAAGAGGGGUGGAAGAAGUCUCAAUUGAGAAAAAAAAUUUUGUGAAAAUAAUGAAAGAUGGUUAUGGCUGUUACGCCACAUGCAAGAUGUAUCUUUAUGUCAUGAGCAAAAGUUAC
RNAcentral lists this unclassified non-coding RNA (246 nucleotides) under Hevea brasiliensis (rubber tree). The record is from RNAcentral. Lineage: Eukaryota; Viridiplantae; Streptophyta; Magnoliopsida; Malpighiales; Euphorbiaceae.